CCCGGGUCUUGUACACACCGCCCGUCACACCAAGGGAGCGGGUUCUGCCAGAAGUAGUUAGCCUAACCGCAAGGAGGGCGAUUACCACGGCAGGGUUCGUGACUGGGGUG
RNAcentral lists this ribosomal RNA (110 nucleotides) under uncultured bacterium. Its description in RNAcentral is "partial 16S ribosomal RNA". It matches the Rfam family "Bacterial small subunit ribosomal RNA", at positions 1373 to 1482 of the family's 1533-position model. The record is from RNAcentral.